GCCAGGCAUGGUGGCGCAUGCCUGUAGUCCCAGCUACUCAGGAGGCUGAGGCAGGAGGAUUGCUUGAGCCCAGGAGUCUGAGGUUGCUGUGAGCUAAGCUGACGCCACGGCACUCUAGCCCCGGCAACAGAGUGAGACUCUGUCUCAAUCAAUCAAUCAAUCAAUAUUGCAGAAUAUGACUAAUUGAAAGUGUGAUACAUGAACAUUGUUUUGUUUCGUUUUGAUUUUUUGAGACAGGGUCUAACUCUAUUGCCCAGGUGAGAGUACAGCGGCAUCAUUGUAGCUCACAGCAACCUUAAAGUCCUGGGCUCAAGCAAUCCUUCUGCCUCA
This 330-nucleotide small RNA is filed under the name Microcebus murinus (gray mouse lemur). RNAcentral's name for it is "Metazoan signal recognition particle RNA (ENSMICG00000033504.2)". The stretch from base 1 to 148 matches the Rfam family "Metazoan signal recognition particle RNA". The record is from RNAcentral. Lineage: Eukaryota; Metazoa; Chordata; Mammalia; Primates; Cheirogaleidae.